AAAUGACUCUCGGCAAUGGAUAUCUCGGCUCUUGCAUCGAUGAAGAACGUAGUGAAAUGCGAUACUUGGUGUGAAUUGCAGAAUCUCGUGAACCAUUGAGUCUUUGAACGCAAGUUGUGCCCGAGGCCUUGUGGUCGAGGGCACGCCUGCUUGGGUGUCAUGG
This 163-nucleotide ribosomal RNA is filed under the name Distichochlamys citrea. Its description in RNAcentral is "5.8S rRNA". It matches the Rfam family "5.8S ribosomal RNA". From Rfam's summary of the family: 5.8S ribosomal RNA (5.8S rRNA) is a component of the large subunit of the eukaryotic ribosome. It is transcribed by RNA polymerase I as part of the 45S precursor that also contains 18S and 28S rRNA. Lineage: Eukaryota; Viridiplantae; Streptophyta; Magnoliopsida; Zingiberales; Zingiberaceae. The record is from RNAcentral.